CCCAUGUUCACCGCUAUUUACUAUUUAUAAAGGUUGAUUGUAAAUUGCAAAAUCAUUCACAAAAGUGGACAGUAUUGGUUUCCUACUCAAAACAGGGCCAGGUCUCUAUUUUACCGUUUUGAUCCUUUCAAUUCAAUUCUCAAUUGUCUUCAAUGUGACACAAGUCUCAGAAAAUCAAAUGGGUACAUUAUCUAUGAACAAGAACAACCUAAAUGGAAGCAAGAUUGAAAAGUGGAAGCAAAAAGAGUUGUCUUUUCUUGUGGCAUAUUCAAUUGUUUUCUUUAUCAUCUUCAUCGCCCGUUCCCUUCAACUUUCUCUUGUUAAUAUUAAUAUAUAUCUCUUGUUUCACACCAAAGAUUGUUUCUUUUUAUUGUGUUUUAUGUUAUCAUCUCAUUGUGCUUUUAUUGUUUUGAUUUUCGUAGAUCAUUACACCCAACUUUAUGGCUUGCGCCAAGAAUGGCUCAUACCCAAUCACCUUAAUGUAUAUGAUCUUUCUAUCUUGUUAGAAGAAAAGAAUGAUUUUGAUAAAGAAAAGAAGAAUGUAGAAGCAGUUACAAAUUGUUCAACAUUGCAGAGAAAAAAAAAUGGAUGAUUGAAGUGAAUGAGUUCUUGCUUUGCUUUUUGGUUCUUAUUUCAAUGAAGAUGAAAUUAGUUUUGGUCUGUCGUUUUUAGUUCUUUCUGUUUCUUCCCUGAGUCGUUUUGUUCUUUAGAUGUUUCGGGUUAACCAAAGGUUACUAUAAAUAACUGUUUUACCCUCUUUUUCAGUGUUAUUGUUCCUUUAUGUCAAAAAACAAAACCCUAAAACCGUUACAGCGAAGCAGAAAUAACAGAAAUAUGAAUCAAAGUGUAAGAACUAGGGUUAACCCGAAACAUCUAAAGAGGGUAAAACAACUACAACUAUCAUAAUCAAGAUAAUAAAACGUUUUUUUUCUUCUUCUUUGAUUGGCAUGGAGAUGAAAAAUCAACAAGUUCUUUGAGUUUUCAUCAAUGGAGGUUUCUAUUCUUUAACAAUGGUAUCAAGAGCAAACAGUUUCACCUUCACAUCUCUGAUAAACAGAAGCUAUCAGUGAUUCAAAUCACUUCCUCUCUUUCGUCCCUUCUUCCAUUCUUCUUCUUCUUCAAUCGCAUCUCCUCAAUGUCAUCAAGCUCCGCAUCUCUGGAAAUUCUUCAAAUUAAUUCUCUUUGGGUUCUUGCUGUCCAGUUCUCACAUUUUCUUUGAAUUAAAUCAAGUUUCAGUGAGUUCCCUUAUUUCCUUCUUGAUUUUUUUCUGUUCCUUGCUCAAAUGGAAAAUAGAACCAUCCAAUUGGCCAACCCUAUGCAAGAUCCAUCUCCCCCUAUUAUAUGCAUGCUAAUGAAAAUUCAGGGGCCAGCCUAGUUUCUAAGCUCCUUAAUGGUGAUAAUUAACAUUCUUGGUCACAAGCAGUGACUAUGUCACUCAAAUCCAAGAAUAAAUUGCAAUUUAUGGACGGUUCUAUCCCAAAACCACCAAUUCAGGAUCCCAACUUUAAUGCCGGGGACAAAUGCAACACUUUGGUUGUAUCAUGGUUGAUUCAGUCAAUAGACACAUCAUAGUGCAAAGUAUUUUGUCGAUGGAGUCUGCUCUUGAGAUAUGGCUGAUAUCUAUCUUAUGUUCUUUUAGAGUAAUCUAACACUUGUAAAAUUUUAUGACACCAUGCAAGUGCAAUAAUCAAUAUUUCUAAGUUCAAUAUUCUUCUGACAUUUGUGGAAGACACUUUAAUGUCAUAAAAAAUCUAGUGGUCGUAAAUAAAAACCAAUGCUAAAAAUAUUUUGUUUUACUUACUUUAUUUUAUAAUUAAUUGUAUAUCUGAGUUGCUGCUUAAGCAGUUUCUUAUACUUGUUUGAUAAGGGAGGGUAGAUAUUAUUGCAUGUAUUCCUCUCAUUCAUUUCAAUCAAUGUGACCAUUGUUCUUACUCUUGUCUUUAGAAUUUUCACUCUGCUUGCAAAUUUGAUUAGAGCUUUUUUAAUUUGAAAAUGGGGGGAAUGUCCACUGUGGCUUUUAUUUUCUUUGGCCUACAAUUCAUUUUUAUGUUUCUAAAUUUGAUUAGAUAUUAUUGUUCUUACUCUUGUCAUAUCUGCAUGGAGCAUGGUACAGUUCAUUUUUCUGUUUUGAACAUUUAGUAUUUUUUAUUUCACUGUU
Molecule: long non-coding RNA, 2158 nt
Filed under: Lupinus mutabilis
Lineage: Eukaryota; Viridiplantae; Streptophyta; Magnoliopsida; Fabales; Fabaceae
Description: partial ncRNA
Source: RNAcentral